This 365-nucleotide long non-coding RNA is filed under the name Pongo abelii (Sumatran orangutan). Its description in RNAcentral is "lincRNA". The record is from RNAcentral. Lineage: Eukaryota; Metazoa; Chordata; Mammalia; Primates; Hominidae.
AAGAUUAACUCUGAAUGUGGAGAGAUUAUUUUCUUGCUCGUAAACCUAGUUUACAUAUUUUCAUUCUUAAUGCUCAGUAAUGUUAAGGAAAGUCACGUGAAAGAAUACUAACUUUUUCACCAAGUACUCUUCUGCGCCUCUUGAAAGGUGUCUGUGUGCUUGUGAAGCGCUCCCUUGUUAGUUCCUUCUGUGAGACUCGGGGGAGACUGGAGAGGGAAAUCACCUGCGGGAAAUGAACAGGAAAGCAAUAAGAAGAUUUGGAAAAGAGGCACUGGCUACUGGAGGAAGGGAGAAAUCACCAAGAGAGCGAAAGAUGUAACAGUGACUCAUGCCUAUAAUCCCAGUACUUUGGAAGGUCAAGGCGG